CUGGAAAUGACAUAGGACUGCUUCUGGGGACAAUGAAAUCAUCCGGGACACCCAAAGGCUAACCCUGAAAGGAGAUAAGGAGGGGAGUGUCAUCGAAGGAAUUUAAGAAGCAGCCGCAGAAGACCAGAACCCUCGAUCCGGGGGAGCUGGCUCGUUAACUGUCGGGAGGAGAGCCUCGGAACUGUCUGGGGACGGAGCGUCGAAAUUCCACAAGUCCAAACGGUGCUAUUGGACCGGAGAGGAUUUGGUAUCAUGACACAAGGUGAAGAAAGAUAUGGGUCUUUUCCUGUGCUCUCAGAGUGAAGUUGAAUCAUGCUGUGUAGACAGCCAGCUCUGCUGUGGGGCCAUCCACUGGCUCUUUGUGCCCACGAUUUCAAAGCCCACCAUUUAUUUUCCCUACGUAGCCGAGGGAGACUCCGGUAUUAAAAUACCCCGUUCAACAAACAAGUCAGAUGACUUCCAGGGACCUGAGCAUCAGGCAAUCGAGGUGACUACACAGCAAAUUGGCAGAGUUCGGCACGUCAGAAACCCAGCUAUGGAAUGGCUUUUCCCAGAGUCACUGGGGAACCUUGUUGGAAGGCUUAAGAAAAAAAACCUGGGGCUUUACUCUAGCUUCCAGCUGAAGUUUGGAAGUUCCAAAGGAUGGUGAGAGUAAACUCAACAGAGGGAUAGACCACCUUAGCCGUGAGCCAACAUUUCCCAAAUGGAGCCCAGAUAGGAAAAGUAACUCACUUCAGGUUACGUGCUAGUUGCUACUCGAGCAAAGACGACAGUACCCAGGCUCCUGACUCCCUGACCCGUGUGUCCCUGAUUUCCAAAAUGCUGUUACAGUUCAUACAAGACGAGAAAAGAUCCUUUUUCCUUCUGUCACGACAGCUCAGCCCCUCCCAAAGGCAAAAGUUCAUUUGUGUUUUUUUUUAAAGCCUUGGUGACAGGUAACCCUGACUUCCGGGCAGCAAAGUAAGUCAUGAUCUGGACACCCAAAGAGGAGGUUUGCUACUUUCACAGGCAUUUUGAAGGCGUCAGUAGCUUCUUCAAAUUUGCAUAUGCCGCAUGCGUUGUCAAUAAAUUCACGUUUUCCUUUGUGCA
This 1089-nucleotide long non-coding RNA is filed under the name Felis catus (domestic cat). RNAcentral describes it as "lncRNA (ENSFCAG00000053532.1)". Lineage: Eukaryota; Metazoa; Chordata; Mammalia; Carnivora; Felidae. The record is from RNAcentral.